RNAcentral lists this ribosomal RNA (863 nucleotides) under uncultured bacterium. RNAcentral describes it as "bacterial SSU rRNA". It matches the Rfam family "Bacterial small subunit ribosomal RNA", at positions 518 to 1378 of the family's 1533-position model. The record is from RNAcentral.
CGGUAAUACGGAGGGUGCAAGCGUUACUCGGAAUCACUGGGCGUAAAGGACGCGUAGGCGGUCCUGUAAGUCAGGUGUGAAAGCCCACGGCUCAACCGUGGAACUGCACUUGAAACUGCGGGGCUAGAGUCUGGGAGAGGCAGAUGGAAUUGGUGGUGUAGGGGUAAAAUCCGUAGAGAUCACCAGGAAUACCGAUGGCGAAGGCGAUCUGCUGGAACAGUACUGACGCUGAGGCGUGAAAGCGUGGGGAGCAAACAGGAUUAGAUACCCUGGUAGUCCACGCCCUAAACGAUGAAUGCUAGUCGUUGGGAUGCUUGUCAUCCCAGUGAUGCAGCUAACGCAAUAAGCAUUCCGCCUGGGGAGUACGGUCGCAAGAUUAAAACUCAAAGGAAUAGACGGGGACCCGCACAAGCGGUGGAGCAUGUGGUUUAAUUCGAAGAUACGCGAAGAACCUUACCUGGGCUUGACAUCCCACGAACCUUCCAGAGAUGGAAGGGUGCUACUUCGGUAGAGCGUGGUGACAGGUGCUGCACGGCUGUCGUCAGCUCGUGUCGUGAGAUGUUGGGUUAAGUCCCGCAACGAGCGCAACCCUCGUCCUUAGUUGCCAGCACUUGGGGUGGGCACUCUAAGGAGACUGCCUGGGUAACCAGGAGGAAGGUGAGGACGACGUCAAGUCAUCAUGGCCCUUAUGUCCAGGGCGACACACGUGCUACAAUGGCGUGUACAAUGAGAGGCGAUACCGCGAGGUGGAGCAAAUCUAUAAAACACGUCCCAGUUCGGAUUGCAGUCUGCAACUCGACUGCAUGAAGUUGGAAUCGCUAGUAAUCGUGAAUCAGCCAUGUCACGGUGAAUACGUUCCCGGG